AUGGCGUCUCGGGGAGGAGGAGGAGGAGCGCAUGCUAGCCGGCCGCCGCUGAGGGUCGGGCGCACCAAGGAGUACCGCAUGGGCAGGGACACGCAGCUACUCGCCGCCGAGGGCUCGCCGGUGAGCCUCUUCGUUCUCUGUGGCGACCGGUUCGAGGGCUCGCAGCUGUUCCGCUCCGGCGAACUGUCGGUGCACAUGAUCCGGGUCGAGGGCCACCCCGUGUCCAUGGCCUCUUGCACCGUUGGAGACCACCAGUGGAUGCUCGCCAGGGACGCACUCGUUGCGCGUGUUGACGCCCGCGUCUUCGUCUUCGAGCUGCCGGGGUUCUUCUACGCAGUCGUCGUGCCGCCGGACGAAGCUGUUGGCGCCGGCGCCGCGGAGAGGAAAUGUGCCACACUGGCCGAGAUCUUCUCUCGGUUCUGCGCGUACCAGGAUCUCUCCAAUGCAGAAGGUGGAGAGGAAGCCGGUGACCAGCAGAGCCAGCACUGGAACCCAUGGGUUCGUGCACACGCUAGGAUACAGCGCCUCGGGAGGACCACCACGACGCCCGGCCGGGCAACCGCCGACGCGCCGGCCGCCAUCGGCAGCGCCAGACAGAUGGAGCGCGCCGUGCGCACGUCGGCCGUCGUGAAGCUGCUCAGCCGUUCCCUCCUCGCCGGCGCGCUCCAGCCCGCUCGGCACCUGACAAUCACCCUCGGUGCCGGUGUCGGCGCUGGCGCUGUUCGCGGCACAAGCGCACUCCCCACUGCCUUUGCGGCGGCGCUGCCGAGUAAGUCCGUCGUGUCCGACCUGCUCGAAGCCAUCGAGACGAGCCGGACGAACGGGCCGCGCCGCGAGGCACGCCGUGGCAACGGCCUGGGGUGGUGGAGCCUCAACGUCGAGGGCGUCAUGAUGCUGCUCAGAGUCGUUCAGGCGAUCCGGGGCAGGAGGCUGCCAGCGGCUCUGGGUGUGGGCACGAAGAGACCGCGCGAUGAUGGGAACGGAGGCGCCGGGCACCAUGGUCUCAAAGGUGGCAGCGGCGUUGGACCGGCGCUCGGCGGCAGCGGGGCACGUCGGUGGUGCGGCGGGAAGCAGAGGAAGCUGGGGAACACGGUGGGUGCAUGGGGAAGCUCUUGA
RNAcentral lists this ribosomal RNA (1116 nucleotides) under Triticum aestivum (bread wheat). Its description in RNAcentral is "partial small subunit ribosomal RNA". The record is from RNAcentral. Lineage: Eukaryota; Viridiplantae; Streptophyta; Magnoliopsida; Poales; Poaceae.